This 492-nucleotide ribosomal RNA is filed under the name uncultured bacterium. Its description in RNAcentral is "partial 16S ribosomal RNA". It matches the Rfam family "Bacterial small subunit ribosomal RNA", at positions 30 to 507 of the family's 1533-position model. The record is from RNAcentral.
AGUGAACGCUGGCGGUAGGCCUAACACAUGCCAGUCGAACGGCAGCACAGUAAGAGCUUGCUCUUACGGGUGGCGAGUGGCGGACGGGUGAGGAAUACAUCGGAAUCUACUUUUUCGUGGGGGAUAACGUAGGGAAACUUACGCUAAUACCGCAUACGACCUACGGGUGAAAGCAGGGGAUCUUCGGACCUUGCGCGAUUGAAUGAGCCGAUGUCGGAUUAGCUAGUUGGCGGGGUAAAGGCCCACCAAGGCGACGAUCCGUAGCUGGUCUGAGAGGAUGAGCGGCCCCACUGGGAGGGAAACCGGGCCCAGCCCCAUCCGGGAGGCGGCAGUGGGGAUUAUUGAAAAAGGGGCACAGGCCUGACCCCGCCAUCCCGGGGGGGGGAGGGGGGCCUUGGGUUUGUAAGGCCUUUUUGUGGGGAAAGAAAAGCAGGAGGUUAACACCCCGCUGUUGUGAGGGUCCCAAAAAAAAAAGCCCCGGCUAACUUCGUG